Long non-coding RNA from Lynx canadensis (Canada lynx), 100 nucleotides. RefSeq lists it as uncharacterized. The transcript has 3 exons. Lineage: Eukaryota; Metazoa; Chordata; Mammalia; Carnivora; Felidae. The record is from RefSeq and is a predicted model, not a curated record.
UGCCUGCGUAAAAGCAGACCCGUGCUGGCCAGCAGACCAGGUUCAAGGCAGUUGUUGCCGUCAGAGAUUACAACGGACAGGUCGGAAGAUCGGUUCAGCA